UACGUAGGGGGCUAGCGUUGUCCGGAUUUAUUGGGCGUAAAGAGCGUGUAGGCGGCCAGGUAGGACUGCUGUGAAAACUCGAGGCUCAACCUCGAGACGUCGGCGGAAACCAUCUGGCUAGAGUCCGGAAGAGGAGAGUGGAAUUCCUGGUGUAGCGGUGAAAUGCGCAGAUAUCAGGAAGAACACCCGUGGCGAAGGCGGCUCUCUGGGACGGUACUGACGCUGAGACGCGAGAGCGUGGGGAGCGAACAGG
This 253-nucleotide ribosomal RNA is filed under the name uncultured bacterium. RNAcentral's name for it is "partial 16S ribosomal RNA". It matches the Rfam family "Bacterial small subunit ribosomal RNA", at positions 524 to 776 of the family's 1533-position model. The record is from RNAcentral.